AUACAGGUAGCUCAAUUGGUAGAGCAUCGAAUUUUUAAUUCGAGGGUUAUGGGUUCAAUUCCCAUCCUUUAUA
RNAcentral lists this transfer RNA (73 nucleotides) under Marinibium conchae. RNAcentral describes it as "Glaciecola sp. MH2013 tRNA-Lys". It matches the Rfam family "tRNA". From Rfam's summary of the family: Transfer RNA (tRNA) molecules are approximately 80 nucleotides in length. Lineage: Bacteria; Pseudomonadati; Pseudomonadota; Gammaproteobacteria; Alteromonadales; Alteromonadaceae. The record is from RNAcentral.